CCUACGGGUGGCAGCAGUGAGGAAUAUUGGUCAAUGGACGAGAGUCUGAACCAGCCAAGUAGCGUGAAGGAUGACUGCCCUAUGGGUUGUAAACUUCUUUUAUCUGGGAAUAAAAUGUUCCACGUGUGGGAUUUUGUAUGUACCAUAUGAAUAAGGAUCGGCUAACUCCGUGCCAGCAGCCGCGGUAAUACGGAGGAUCCGAGCGUUAUCCGGAUUUAUUGGGUUUAAAGGGAGCGUAGGUGGAUUGUUAAGUCAGUUGUGAAAGUUUGCGGCUCAACCGUAAAAUUGCAGUUGAAACUGGCAGUCUUGAGUACAGUAGAGGUGAGCGGAAUUCGUGGUGUAGCGGUGAAAUGCUUAGAUAUCACGAAGAACUCCGAUUGCGAAGGCAGUUCACUGGACUGCAACUGACACUGAGGCUCGAAAGUGUGGGUAUCAAACAGGAUUAGAUACCCUUGUAGUC
This 460-nucleotide ribosomal RNA is filed under the name uncultured bacterium. RNAcentral describes it as "partial 16S ribosomal RNA". It matches the Rfam family "Bacterial small subunit ribosomal RNA", at positions 338 to 795 of the family's 1533-position model. The record is from RNAcentral.